RNAcentral lists this ribosomal RNA (1248 nucleotides) under Triticum aestivum (bread wheat). RNAcentral describes it as "partial small subunit ribosomal RNA". Lineage: Eukaryota; Viridiplantae; Streptophyta; Magnoliopsida; Poales; Poaceae. The record is from RNAcentral.
AUGGAUUCUAUCUUGGCGAAUGAAACUUGGGAGAUAACUGAUCGUCCUUAUGGGUGCAAACGUAUAGGAUGCAAAUGGGUAUUCAAGAAGAAGCUUAGGCCUGAUGGUACUAUUGAAAAGUACAAGGCUCGGCUCGUGGCUAAGGGUUAUACCCAAAAGGAAGGUGAAGACUUCUUUGAUACUUACUCACCUGUGGCUCGACUGACCACUAUUCGAGUCCUACUUUCACUAGCUGCCUCACAUGGUCUUCUCGUUCAUCAAAUGGAUGUUAAGACUGCUUUCCUAAAUGGAGAGUUGGAUGAGGAAAUUUAUAUGGAACAACCAGAUGGGUUUGUAAUAGAUGGUCAGGAAGGGAAAGUGUGCAAGUUGCUGAAGUCUUUGUAUGGACUCAAGCAAGCACCCAAACAGUGGCAUGAGAAGUUCGAAAGAACUUUAACAGCCGCAGGCUUUGUUGUAAAUGAAGCUGACAAAUGUGUGUACUAUCGCCAUGGUGGGGGCGAGGGAGUUAUGCUUUGCUUGUAUGUUGAUGACAUACUGAUUUUCGGAACAAAUCUGAAUGUUAUUAAGGAGGUUAAGGAUUUCCUAUCUCGUUGUUUUGAGAUGAAGGAUUUAGGAGUGGCUGAUGUCAUUCUGAACAUCAAGUUGUUGAGAGACGAUGAUGGUGGGAUUACAUUGCUUCAAUCUCACUAUGUGGAAAAGAUCUUGAGUCGCUUUGGCUAUAGUGACUGCAAGCCCUCUCCAACACCAUAUGAUGCUAGCGUGCUGCUUCGAAAGAAUCGAAGAAUUGCUAGAGAUCAAUUGAAGUAUUCUCAGAUUAUUGGCUCGCUUAUGUACUUAGCCAGUGCUACAAGACCUGACAUCUCUUUUGCUGUUAGCAAGCUGAGCCGGUUUGUCUCAAAACCGGGAGAUGUGCAUUGGAAAGCUCUAGAGAGAGUUUUGCGUUAUUUGAAAGGCACUGUAAAUUAUGGAAUUCACUACACUGGGCACCCAAAGGUGCUUGAAGGGUAUAGUGACUCAAACUGGAUCUCAGAUGCUGAUGAGAUAAAGGCCACUGUAAUCACAAAAGUGAGCAGCUCAAAGGAUAACAUGAAGUCAUCAAGACACGUUCAGAGAAGGUUAAAGUCUGUCAGGAAAAUGAAAAACUCCGGAGUUAUUGCGUUGGAUUAUAUCCAAACGUCUAAAAAUCUGGCAGAUCCUUUCACUAAGGGUCUAUCGCGUAAUGUUGAUGUAUAUCUUAAUGUGUUCUAA